GACGGAGGAUGCAAGCGUUAUCCGGAAUGAUUGGGCGUAAAGCGUCCGCAGGUGGCAGUUCAAGUCUGCUGUCAAAGACCGGGGCUUAACUUCGGAAAGGCAGUGGAAACAGAACAGCUAGAGUAUGGUAGGGGCAGAGGGAAUUCCUGGUGUAGCGGUGAAAUGCGUAGAGAUCAGGAAGAACAUCGGUGGCGAAGGCGCUCUGCUGGACCAUAACUGACACUCAGGGACGAAAGCUAGGGGAGCGAAUGGG
This 253-nucleotide ribosomal RNA is filed under the name uncultured bacterium. RNAcentral describes it as "partial 16S ribosomal RNA". It matches the Rfam family "Bacterial small subunit ribosomal RNA", at positions 524 to 776 of the family's 1533-position model. The record is from RNAcentral.